UAGGGAAUCUUCCGCAAUGGGCGAAAGCCUGACGGAGCAACGCCGCGUGAGUGAUGAAGGUCUUCGGAUCGUAAAACUCUGUUAUUAGGGAAGAACAAAUGUGUAAGUAACUAUGCACGUCUUGACGGUACCUAAUCAGAAAGCCACGGCUAACUACGUGCCAGCAGCCGCGGUAAUACGUAGGUGGCAAGCGUUAUCCGGAAUUAUUGGGCGUAAAGCGCGCGUAGGCGGUUUUUUAAGUCUGAUGUGAAAGCCCACGGCUCAACCGUGGGGGGUCAUUGGAAACUGGAAAACUUGAGUGCAGAAGAGGAGAGUGGAAUUCCAUGUGUAGCGGUGAAAUGCGCAGAGAUAUGGAGGAACACCAGUGGCGAAAGCGACUUUCUGGUCUGUAACUGACGCUGAUGUGCGAAAGCGUGGGGAUCAAACAGG
Molecule: ribosomal RNA, 429 nt
Filed under: Actinomycetes bacterium
Lineage: Bacteria; Bacillati; Actinomycetota; Actinomycetes
Description: Actinobacteria bacterium partial 16S ribosomal RNA
Rfam family: Bacterial small subunit ribosomal RNA
Source: RNAcentral